GGAGUCCCGCCUCCUUCUAGUAAGCAGCUCACCUGUGUUUCUGUGUUUAGUGUCCGGAUGUGGAGUGGAGCUUGUUGUUGGUAUUUGUGUUUGAAGAAACUGUGAAGGUAGAAAGUGUGUGUGAGCUGAUGUGGAUGUGAAUUCAGCAGCAUGGAUCGGUGUGAGGACAGAGAGGAGGGAGUCCCUCCCUCUAAACCCACUCUGUUUGGGGAAAAUGAGAGCCAGACCAAAGCUCAGAGGAAAAGACGGAAACGUGGGAGAAAACAUAAACAUGGAAAAGAACCUGAUGCCACCUGUGUGUCAUUAAAGAGCGACCCCAUUCAUUUUAAAGCCCAGCAGUUGUCUGCUGCAGAGAGGUGAGCUGUUAGUAACAUGAACUCUUUGAGACCUGACUUAAUUGAUUGAUGUUGUUGGAUAUUAACUGCAUUGCAAACAGGUCAUUCCCUCAAUCUCAUUUAAACUGUCUCUUAAAAACAAGCCUUUGGUUUUAAACAACUGAAAACCCACGAUCAGUAAUUUUAAAUUAAAUGAGUUCCAGCAGAAGAUGUAUACAUUUCUCAGUAAUAACGGUUUUGAAAUUAAAAGACAGUUGCUGCUCCAUAGUUUAUUAAUUGAUAGAGAUCUAGAGUUUGAUAGUUUGAUAGAGAGAGAGAGAUUAUAUACAGUGGGGAAAACAAGUAUUUAGUCAGCCACCAGUUGUGCAAGUUCUCCCACUGAAAAUGUUGAGAGAGCCCUGUAAUUUUCAUCACCUUAACUAUGAGAGACAAAAUCCUGAAAAUCACAUGGUCUGAUUUUUAAAGAAUUUAUUUGCAAAUUAUGGUGGAAAAUAA
Haplochromis burtoni (Burton's mouthbrooder) is the source of this 830-nucleotide long non-coding RNA. RefSeq lists it as uncharacterized. NCBI's taxonomy places the organism in Eukaryota, Metazoa, Chordata, Actinopteri, Cichliformes, Cichlidae. The record is from RefSeq and is a predicted model, not a curated record. The transcript has 3 exons.